AGGAGCUGUGUAUUAGAAGAGA
Molecule: microRNA, 22 nt
Filed under: Octopus vulgaris (common octopus)
Lineage: Eukaryota; Metazoa; Mollusca; Cephalopoda; Octopoda; Octopodidae
Also listed under: 1 other name
Description: Ovu-Mir-12578-v2_3p (mature (guide))
Source: RNAcentral